UGCAGUCGAGCGAGCACUUACUUUAGAUUUCUUCGGAAUGAUGAGGUUUGUGACUGAGCGGCGGACGGGUGAGUAACGCGUGGGCAACCUGCCCUGUACAGGGGGAUAACAGUUAGAAAUGACUGCUAAUACCGCAUAAGCCCACAGCUUCGCAUGAAGCAGUGGGAAAAACUCCGGUGGUACAGGAUGGGCCCGCGUCUGAUUAGCUAGUUGGUAAGGUAACGGCUUACCAAGGCGACGAUCAGUAGCCGACCUGAGAGGGUGACCGGCCACAUUGGGACUGAGACACGGCCCAAACUCCUACGGGAGGCAGCAGUGGGGAAUAUUGCACAAUGGGGGAAACCCUGAUGCAGCGACGCCGCGUGAGCGAUGAAGUAUUUCGGUAUGUAAAGCUCUAUCAGCAGGGAAGAAAGUGACGGUACCUGACUAAGAAGCCCCGGCUAACUACGUGCCAGCAGCCGCGGUAAUACGUAGGGGGCAAGCGUUAUCCGGAUUUACUGGGUGUAAAGGGAGCGUAGACGGAAGUGCAAGUCUGAAGUGAAAGCCCGGGGCUCAACCCCGGGACUGCUUUGGAAACUGUAUUUCUAGAGUGCUGGAGAGGUAAGUGGAAUUCCUAGUGUAGCGGUGAAAUGCGUAGAUAUUAGGAGGAACACCAGUGGCGAA
This 663-nucleotide ribosomal RNA is filed under the name uncultured bacterium. RNAcentral describes it as "bacterial SSU rRNA". It matches the Rfam family "Bacterial small subunit ribosomal RNA", at positions 56 to 719 of the family's 1533-position model. The record is from RNAcentral.